AUGUCUGGGAAUGCAAGCUUUGCCGCUGCUGGGUUGCAACUAGGCCAACAAUAUCACCAACAACAAAUGUUUUCCUUCCCCAGCGCAUGCAAAAAGCCAAGGACAAGAAGGCUUCCACCAGUCGCUCCGUCAACAUCAAUCAUCCGUGCUGCAAAAGCAGUUGCGACGGGAAGACCACGGCAAAAAGACAGAAAUUUUGGCCACUCUAGCAGGUUCAAAAGUACAAGAUAUGAGCCAUAUAGACAGGAGCAACAUCACAAUGAAUCUGAGGAGAGACGUCCGUACAACGAGAGACGGAGAUCUUCGUCAUCGUUGCUCCCUCCAAGAGAUGCAUUGCUGCAUGUGCCAAGGGUGACACCACCGGCUCCCAUAAACUAG
Molecule: ribosomal RNA, 378 nt
Filed under: Triticum aestivum (bread wheat)
Lineage: Eukaryota; Viridiplantae; Streptophyta; Magnoliopsida; Poales; Poaceae
Description: partial small subunit ribosomal RNA
Source: RNAcentral